This 434-nucleotide ribosomal RNA is filed under the name uncultured Desulfobulbus sp. Its description in RNAcentral is "bacterial SSU rRNA". It matches the Rfam family "Bacterial small subunit ribosomal RNA", at positions 954 to 1382 of the family's 1533-position model. The record is from RNAcentral. Lineage: Bacteria; Pseudomonadati; Thermodesulfobacteriota; Desulfobulbia; Desulfobulbales; Desulfobulbaceae.
AUGCAACGCGAAGAACCUUACCUGGUCUUGACAUCCCGGAGACCCUUAGGAAACUAGGGGGUGCUUCCAUCUGGAAGAAUCUGGAGACAGGUGCUGCAUGGCUGUCGUCAGCUCGUGUCGUGAGAUGUUGGGUUAAGUCCCGCAACGAGCGCAACCCUUGCCUUUAGUUGCCAGCAGUUCGGCUGGGCACUCUAAAGGGACUGCCGGUGUUAAACCGGAGGAAGGUGGGGAUGACGUCAAGUCCUCAUGGCCUUUAUGACCAGGGCUACACACGUACUACAAUGGCCGAUACAAAGGGCAGCGACACUGCGAGGUGAAGCCAAUCCCGUAAAAUCGGUCUCAGUCCGGAUUGGAGUCUGCAACUCGACUCCAUGAAGUUGGAAUCGCUAGUAAUCGUGGAUCAGCAUGCCACGGUGAAUACGUUCCCGGGCCUU